AAAAUUUUAGUUUAAAUUAAAAUAAUUCAUUUACAUUGAAUAGAUUAAUUAAUAAUAAUAUUAAAAUUUUU
This 71-nucleotide transfer RNA is filed under the name Acropyga pallida. RNAcentral describes it as "tRNA-Val". The record is from RNAcentral. Lineage: Eukaryota; Metazoa; Arthropoda; Insecta; Hymenoptera; Formicidae.